GGUUUGCAAAGGGAGUAGCCUCUAGUCCUUUUGUUACUUAGGUGUGGAAAGUUGGGGUUUUCCUUUUGAUUUAGUUCUAGGAAGUCAGCGUGAAUCAGCCUUAGGUUCCCUGCCUCCAGACCCUAUUGUCCUGCCUCACAAGAGUUGAAGAAAGACCACCAGUGAAAUGUUGAUAAGCCAAGGUAUAGAUGAGAAUCCCAAACUGAGACAGCUUAAGAAAUGUCCAGAGUCUUGUAACAAGUGAAAAUGUCAUAUGUCAUGAGGUCAUGUUGGAAAACCUUGAAGAGGAUAAAAGAUCUUCCACUAGCAACAGUACUUCCCCUUCCUGCUGCCAUGUGAAGAAGGACGUGUUUGCUUCUCCAUCUGCUAUGAUUAUAAGUUUUCUGAGGCCUCCUCAGCCCUGCAGAACUG
Molecule: long non-coding RNA, 411 nt
Filed under: Pongo abelii (Sumatran orangutan)
Lineage: Eukaryota; Metazoa; Chordata; Mammalia; Primates; Hominidae
Description: lincRNA
Source: RNAcentral